UGACUAGCUACGCAACUGUUUACAGUUC
Molecule: non-coding RNA, 28 nt
Filed under: Mus musculus (house mouse)
Lineage: Eukaryota; Metazoa; Chordata; Mammalia; Rodentia; Muridae
Source: RNAcentral